This 327-nucleotide small RNA is filed under the name Arabidopsis thaliana (thale cress). RNAcentral's name for it is "ATSL259220". Lineage: Eukaryota; Viridiplantae; Streptophyta; Magnoliopsida; Brassicales; Brassicaceae. The record is from RNAcentral.
AUUAAACUUUUCAUCAUAUAGAUUCUUAGAAUGUGAUUGUGGAGCCACGUUGGAUCUCCAGGGUUAGAUAUAAAUGAAACUGUCUAUGCCGUGUGACAGCCCUUGCAACUAUUCAAUUCAAAGUUGACCAUACAUGAAACUAUUUCAAGCAAACGACGCCCAACAUCAAGUAUUCAAGUUGUUGAUAUUGUCUAAAAGAUUCACCAUAUAUAAAAGCCAACUUCAUGGAAUCGAAAUUGUAGCGGUACAACAGUUACUAGAUCACCACUUUAUGACAAGCACACUCUUGACAUAUUAAUCAAACUUGGCCAAGAUGAUCCCGAGCUA